GAGGAUAUAGCUCAGUGGUAGAGUACUUGCCUAGCAUGCAUGAGGUCCUGGGUUCAAUCCUCAGUACUUCCA
This 72-nucleotide transfer RNA is filed under the name Camelus bactrianus (Bactrian camel). It matches the Rfam family "tRNA". Rfam says of the family: Transfer RNA (tRNA) molecules are approximately 80 nucleotides in length. Their secondary structure includes four short double-helical elements and three loops (D, anti-codon, and T loops). RNAcentral also lists the same sequence under 3 other names. The record is from Rfam by way of RNAcentral. Lineage: Eukaryota; Metazoa; Chordata; Mammalia; Artiodactyla; Camelidae.